Molecule: ribosomal RNA, 497 nt
Filed under: uncultured bacterium
Lineage: Bacteria
Description: partial 16S ribosomal RNA
Rfam family: Bacterial small subunit ribosomal RNA
Source: RNAcentral
GAUGAACGCUGGCGGCGUGCCUAAUACAUGCAAGUCGAGCGAACGGACGAGAAGCUUGCUUCUCUGAUGUUAGCGGCGGACGGGUGAGUAACACGUGGAUAACCUACCUAUAAGACUGGGAUAACUUCGGGAAACCGGAGCUAAUACCGGAUAAUAUUUUGAACCGCAUGGUUCAAAAGUGAAAGACGGUCUUGCUGUCACUUAUAGAUGGAUCCGCGCUGCAUUAGCUAGUUGGUAAUGUAACGGCUUACCAAGGCAACGAUGCAUAGCCGACCUGAGAGGGUGAUCGGCCACACUGGAACUGAGACACGGUCCAGACUCCUACGGGAGGCAGCAGUAGGGAAUCUUCCGCAAUGGGCGAAAGCCUGACGGAGCAACGCCGCGUGAGUGAUGAAGGUCUUCGGAUCGUAAAACUCUGUUAUUAGGGAAGAACAUAUGUGUAAGUAACUGUGCACAUCUUGCCGGUACCUAAUCAGAAAGCCACGGCUAACUACGUG